CCCUUAGAUGUUCUGGGCCGCACACGCGCUACACUGAAGGAGGCAGCGUGUACUCCUGGAUCGAAAGAUUUGGGUAACCCGCGAAUCUCCUUCGUGCGAGGGAUUGAGGUUUGCAAUUAUCCUUCAUGAACGAGGAAUUCCCAGUAAGUGCAAGUCAUAAGCUUGCGCUGACUACGUCCCUGCCCUUUGUACACACCGCCCGUCGCUACUACCGAUUGAAUGAUUUAGUGAGGACUUCGGACUGGGACCGAUGCGGCUUUCGGGCUGCGUCGGUAUUCUGGAAAGAUGUCCAAACUGUAUCAUUUAGAGGAAGUAAAAGUCGUAACA
RNAcentral lists this ribosomal RNA (327 nucleotides) under uncultured eukaryote. Its description in RNAcentral is "partial 18S ribosomal RNA". It matches the Rfam family "Eukaryotic small subunit ribosomal RNA", at positions 1470 to 1796 of the family's 1831-position model. The record is from RNAcentral.